This 1948-nucleotide ribosomal RNA is filed under the name Salmonella enterica. RNAcentral describes it as "partial 23S ribosomal RNA". It matches the Rfam family "Bacterial large subunit ribosomal RNA", at positions 1 to 2411 of the family's 2925-position model. The record is from RNAcentral. RNAcentral also lists the same sequence under 1 other name. Lineage: Bacteria; Pseudomonadati; Pseudomonadota; Gammaproteobacteria; Enterobacterales; Enterobacteriaceae.
CCACCACUAAGCCAGUGGUGAACUCCACAUACGCAUCCUUUGCUGAGGAUACGGUUAACGGAGCGAAAGCGACGUUCAACCUCAAAAGAAGCAGAGGGGGCUUAGUGGUGGGGUGACUGCGUACCUUUUGUAUAAUGGGUCAGCGACUUAUAUUCUGUAGCAAGGUUAACCGAAUAGGGGAGCCGGAGGGAAACCGAGUCUUAACCGGGCGUUAAGUUGCAGGGUAUAGACCCGAAACCCGGUGAUCUAGCCAUGGGCAGGUUGAAGGUUGGGUAACACUAACUGGAGGACCGAACCGACUAAUGUUGAAAAAUUAGCGGAUGACCUGUGGCUGGGGGUGAAAGGCCAAUCAAACCGGGAGAUAGCUGGUUCUCCCCGAAAGCUAUUUAGGUAGCGCCUCGUGAAUUCAUCUCCGGGGGUAGAGCACUGUUUCGGCUAGGGGGUCAUCCCGACUUACCAACCCGAUGCAAACUGCGAAUACCGGAGAAUGUUAUCACGGGAGACACACGGCGGGUGCUAACGUCCGUCGUGAAGAGGGAAACAACCCAGACCGCCAGCUAAGGUCCCAAAGUCAUGGUUAAGUGGGAAACGAUGUGGGAAGGCCCAGACAGCCAGGAUGUUGGCUUAGAAGCAGCCAUCAUUUAAAGAAAGCGUAAUAGCUCACUGGUCGAGUCGGCCUGCGCGGAAGAUGUAACGGGGCUAAACCAUGCACCGAAGCUGCGGCAGCGACACUAUGUGUUGUUGGGUAGGGGAGCGUUCUGUAAGCCUGCGAAGGUGUCUCGUGAGGGAUGCUGGAGGUAUCAGAAGUGCGAAUGCUGACAUAAGUAACGAUAAUGCGGGUGAAAAACCCGCACGCCGGAAGACCAAGGGUUCCUGUCCAACGUUAAUCGGGGCAGGGUGAGUCGACCCCUAAGGCGAGGCCGAAAGGCGUAGUCGAUGGGAAACAGGUUAAUAUUCCUGUACUUGGUGUUACUGCGAAGGGGGGACGGAGAAGGCUAUGUUGGCCGGGCGACGGUUGUCCCGGUUUAAGCGUGUAGGUGUGUGUUCCAGGUAAAUCCGGUUCACUUUAACACUGAGGCGUGAUGACGAGGCACUACGGUGCUGAAGCAACAAAUGCCCUGCUUCCAGGAAAAGCCUCUAAGCAUCAGGUAACAUCAAAUCGUACCCCAAACCGACACAGGUGGUCAGGUAGAGAAUACCAAGGCGCUUGAGAGAACUCGGGUGAAGGAACUAGGCAAAAUGGUGCCGUAACUUCGGGAGAAGGCACGCUGAUAUGUAGGUGAAGUGGUUUACCCAUGGAGCUGAAAUCAGUCGAAGAUACCAGCUGGCUGCAACUGUUUAUUAAAAACACAGCACUGUGCAAACACGAAAGUGGACGUAUACGGUGUGACGCCUGCCCGGUGCCGGAAGGUUAAUUGAUGGGGUUAUCCGUAAGGAGAAGCUCUUGAUCGAAGCCCCGGUAAACGGCGGCCGUAACUAUAACGGUCCUAAGGUAGCGAAAUUCCUUGUCGGGUAAGUUCCGACCUGCACGAAUGGCGUAAUGAUGGCCAGGCUGUCUCCACCCGAGACUCAGUGAAAUUGAACUCGCUGUGAAGAUGCAGUGUACCCGCGGCAAGACGGAAAGACCCCGUGAACCUUUACUAUAGCUUGACACUGAACACUGGUCCUUGAUGUGCAGGAUAGGUGGGAGGCUUUGAAGCGCGGACGCCAGUUCGUGUGGAGCCAUCCUUGAAAUACCACCCUUUAAUGGCUGGUGUUCUAACGUAGACCCGUGAUCCGGGUUGCGGACAGUGUCUGGUGGGUAGUUUGACUGGGGCGGUCUCCUCCUAAAGAGUAACGGAGGAGCACGAAGGUUAGCUAAUCCUGGUCGGACAUCAGGAGGUUAGUGCAAAGGCAUAAGCUAGCUUGACUGCGAGCGUGACGGCGCGAGCAGGUGCGAAAGCAGGUC